This 995-nucleotide long non-coding RNA is filed under the name Mus pahari (shrew mouse). Its description in RNAcentral is "lncRNA (MGP_PahariEiJ_G0003010.1)". The record is from RNAcentral. Lineage: Eukaryota; Metazoa; Chordata; Mammalia; Rodentia; Muridae.
GAGGGAGGAGGAGGAAGCGCGCCUCGGCCGCCGCAGUUGGAGUCGGAGCAGGGGAGAACAGCUUCAAAAAAUUAUUAAAAAUCGAGGAAAAAUCCUAGAAACUCUCUGUGGGCCUGAAAAUCCCAGAGAGACCCCAGGCUCCCUGGAAUAGAGGUUUCGGGUGUCAGUAAGCAGGGGUCAGAUGUGGCAGGUGAAUCCUGGCUGAAGGAGAGAGGAAGCACCGAGGUCCACAUCCAUGGUGCUGAUGACAUGAAGUCCCCUGAGGCAUACACAAUUAUAUCAAGCAAGCAGUGACAUUGGAGUCAGCUGUGGGAAUACACAGCGGGGUCGUCUUCACAUCCCCGCGGAUGGUGACAGAGCCAGCGAAGAUUGUAGAAGUGAGAACUGUGCUGUUGCAUCCUCAGGCAAAUGAUUUCUUCUGUAAAUGUCUUCUCGGCAUGUCUAUGAAGAGACAUCCUCAGAGCCAAACUGCCUUCAUCGUCAUCACAUCUGUUUGCAAGAGACAGUCAUAGCUGACGAUGUUGACUGUGACCUACUUUUAUAUAAGGGGCACAGAGCAUCAUGGGACUUUCAUGUGAGUAUCCAGACACCCCCCCCAAGCCAGCUGUUUGAAAUUCUAAUUGUACAAAGCCUCAAGGAGUCUGUGAUGGCUAAUCUUGGUUGUCAACUUGAAUAUAUCUAGAAUCAACUAAAUCCCAAGCAGCUAGGGGUUGAGAAAAUUUCAUGAUCGAAUCAUAUGAGGUCAGAAGACUCACUCUAAAUCUGGGCUACACCUUCUGGUGGCAUCCCACAUAAAAAGGACACGGAACAAGGAAAGUUUUGCUUUUUGCCUGCUUGUCUUCACUCUCGGUGGCAAGUUCAUCUAGUCUGCUGCUGUGGCAUUCUUUCACUGGUGUUAGAACCUACUCCUUCAUGACUGAAGACUAGCCAGGUGGGCUGAAUACUACUAAAUUCAUGGCCUUUUUUUUUUUUUUUUUUUUUUUGAGCGAGAGAUA